AGUGGUCGAGUAGCCGAUUUAACAGUCGACGACAUCCGAGAUUUGGAAGUUGGUUAAGAGCACGGGAAUCGUCAGAGAAGUCUAUCACACUAUCGACUGUUUUGGGUAUUUUACUAAGUCUGAAUUUAAACUUAUGGCAUGUAUAGUCUAGUUAAUAUGUUUGAUUUUUGGGUAUGUAAAUAUGAGCCAUGCAAAAAAAAUGGCUUAUUUAUUUUGUUAAGCAUGGUUUUUAUACUUUUGAUCAAGUGAUAGAUAUGUUGAUUUUGGUAUUUCAGCUAUGGCAUAUUUAUUUAUGUGAA
Gossypium raimondii (Peruvian cotton) is the source of this 299-nucleotide long non-coding RNA. RefSeq lists it as uncharacterized. The record is from RefSeq and is a predicted model, not a curated record. Lineage: Eukaryota; Viridiplantae; Streptophyta; Magnoliopsida; Malvales; Malvaceae. The transcript is spliced from 2 exons.